This 1226-nucleotide long non-coding RNA is filed under the name Heterocephalus glaber (naked mole-rat). RNAcentral's name for it is "lncRNA (ENSHGLG00100033845.1)". Lineage: Eukaryota; Metazoa; Chordata; Mammalia; Rodentia; Bathyergidae. The record is from RNAcentral.
CUUUCAGGAUCAGCUGAAAUGCUUUCUUCCUGGGCACCACUAGCCAAGAGGAGGCUGAGGCCCUGCCACGGGGCCGCGCACUGGCGUUUUCCCACGGUCUGCAUGGCAUAACGUGACAGGUGUGCGACAUCCAAGGCCGCCCUCGGCAGCUCUGGGCUCUCUGGGCUCGCCCGGUCCGCCUCACUGUCCGUCACCCGGGCCCUCUGAGGGAACUCAGCCAGGCAGUGGUCAGCCACCAGGAUGCCAAGACCUCUGCACUGUCCCCGCCCAGUGAAGCACCGGCUCGUCCCACUCCCAUUUGCUCUCUGCCCUUGUCUGCUUCCAUCCUCCCAAUAUACCAGCACCGGCCUCAUCUUCAUGAAGGUGAUGAUGAUGAUGAAGAGGGACAGGAGGAGCAGGAGGAGGAGAAGGAGCAGAAGGAGCAGGAGGAGGAGGAGCAGAAGCAGGAGGAGGAGCAGGAGGAGGAGGAGCAGAAGCAGGAGGAGAAGCAGGAGGAGGAGGAGCAGGAGCAGGAGCAGGAGGAGGAGCAGGAGGAGGAGCAAGAGGAGGAGCAGGAGGAGGAGGAGCAGCAGGUAGAGGAGCAGGUGGAGGAGCAGGAGCAGGAGCAGGAGCAGGAGGAGCAGGAGGAAAGCCAGCAUUGGAAACUACAGCACAACCCGCCACCCCUUCCCAUGGCCUUCUGUGAACCGCUCCAGACCAAGCACAGAGCCCGUGGCCGGUCCACGGAUGCUCUGCACCCUCCUGGCCUCUGUCAGCACCAUCUCGGUGCCGCCGCUCAUCCUUUCCUGCCACCCUGCCCUCGCCCUUCAUCCCUGCACAGAGCUCCUGCUUCCCAGCAUCCGUUUUCUCCUAAGCACCAUCCAGCUGGAUGCAAGCCCACUCCUGCAUGUGGCUCCUACACUAGACACCCGCAAUUCUGAAGGGCCCACAUCUCAGCGGUCCUCAUGGGCACGGCGAGGACCACACACCCCACCCAAGCCACGGCAGCAUCUAACUGCAGAAGACAUCAUCAGAGGCCGAGAGAGCCAGUCACCCCGCCAGGAGGCGUUCUGGCCCAGAGGGGACAGCCCCACUGCAGUGGCAGAGGCCCAGGGGGAGGCUCCUCCUGUGGACCCCGGUGCUCUAGGAGGCCUGGGAAUCCAGUUGCCCAUGUGUAGAUCUGCACAGCUGGGACCCGACCUCAAGAUGAUGAUAUCUGGGUCACUGAGUUCUUUUCCACCUCAAAG